This 76-nucleotide non-coding RNA is filed under the name unclassified sequences. The record is from Rfam.
GAUCAGCAAAGCCGGGGAAUGUGCAUACAUUCAUCGGAACUCCCGGCAAAAGGCUUGCAAAGGUGAUUUCCCUUUC